CAGAUUGAACAUACUGUAUGGUCCUAACUGUGGGAUGAGAGACGUCUGUGAUUACUUUUUUCUGUUCAAAAUCUCUUGGCUGCUGAAACAAGGAAACCAUAUUAUAUUGUCAGGUUUCCAUAAUUUUUAUUGAAAACAAAAAAUGAAAUAUAUGGUCUACAUAAAAUGUGAAUCUCAAGAUAAAGGAAAAAUAAAUGUUAUUUUGGCAAACAAUGCAGUUACAUUGUUGCACGCUUGAUGUGUUAUUGGACUUUCCUUUUUGAUAUUUUUAAGUGUAAUAAAUCACUAUUUUCCUGUAUGGAUUUUGAGUAAGGCUAGAUUCAUCCAUAAAAAGCUUGUAUUGCUUUUAUGUUCUCUGUGGUUUCGGUCAGGUGGAUAGGAAGGAGGAUGUCUAUUAAGAAUUCUCUUAAAAUGUUGACACUGCUCUAACAUUGUUCUGUGAUGUGUGGCUCUACAUGAAGAUACAGAAUGACAGAUAUGUUAAUGGUGGAAUUAGUAGUUCAGCUACAUUACUGUCAAAAUUUGUUGCAGAUUUAUAGUUUAAUUUUCUGUUGUCACUGUUUUUUGUUUCAUAGUUUGAAUGAGAAAAUUGUGUGAAUUGUUAAUGCGGGUAGCAGUUUGACUGCAGAUAAUGGAAAUUUAAUGACUCUUCAUAUUUACAAGAAGUCAUUGUUAUGAAUAUUAGAUUUUCUUCCCCUGCCACUGUUCCAUAUAUAAAGAGUUACCGUAAUGAGACAUAAAUGCUUCUCAGACAAGUUUUGCUGUAAUUGUUAAAUUUUCAGACUAUUCAUUGCACUGCCAGUGCAUUACGAAAGCAGUUUAUUGCUAUUGUCGUUGGAAGGGGAGCAUAAAAUUGUUACAAUAAUUUAAAACUUCAAAUGGUUGUUGCAGUAUUACGAUGAUUUGUGACCUCCAUUUAAAACACCAUUAAUGAU
RNAcentral lists this long non-coding RNA (935 nucleotides) under Locusta migratoria (migratory locust). RNAcentral's name for it is "partial Lnc02681". The record is from RNAcentral. Lineage: Eukaryota; Metazoa; Arthropoda; Insecta; Orthoptera; Acrididae.